GCGGUGUUGCGCCAAUGAACGUGGCGCUAAUGACCUACAUGGCAGCGUAGCCCUCGUCGUUGUGAAGUUCGGCGCUCAGCCCGCGGCGCCAGGGUCUUGCUGUAUAUGGUCCCGGCUGUCCAAGAACUCAGGAAUCCGCCCAUCUCCUCAAGUACUGAGAUUACAGGGCUGAAGAUGCCACUGAGUGGUGGAACAGCCGUGGAGUGCACUAGGGCCUUGGGCUGCCUCCCACACUGCCCAAAGCAGCCAACUGCCUUUCCAGGGCUGGGGAUGUACUGGAGGCCCUGGGUUCAAUCUCUAGCAUUGCAAAAGAAAGUUAAAGCAUUUUCCUUUAGUUAAUACCAACAUCUUCACAAAUAUUAGACUCACUAAAUGAAAUAUUAACAUCAAAAAACAUUAAGGUUGAAUAUUUUAUUUGUUUCUGAUUGUGCUGCAAAGCUGUUGCCUCGUAUAAAAACAG
This is a long non-coding RNA of Octodon degus (degu), 460 nucleotides long. RefSeq lists it as uncharacterized. The transcript has 3 exons. The record is from RefSeq and is a predicted model, not a curated record. Lineage: Eukaryota; Metazoa; Chordata; Mammalia; Rodentia; Octodontidae.